AGAAUCAACGCUGGCGGCGUGCCUAACACAUGCAAGUCGAACGCGAAAGGGACUUCGGUCCUGAGUAGAGUGGCGAACGGGUGAGUAACGCGUGGGUGACCUACCCUCGAGUGGGGGAUAACGUCUCGAAAGGGACGCUAAUACCGCAUGACAUUCCGGGUUUGAAGACCUGGAAAUCAAAGCCGGGACCGCAAGGCCUGGCGCUCGGGAGGGCCCGCGUCUGAUUAGCUAGUUGGCGGGUAACGCCCACCGAAGGCGACGAUCA
This 265-nucleotide ribosomal RNA is filed under the name uncultured soil bacterium. RNAcentral's name for it is "partial 16S ribosomal RNA". It matches the Rfam family "Bacterial small subunit ribosomal RNA", at positions 26 to 282 of the family's 1533-position model. The record is from RNAcentral.